Molecule: ribosomal RNA, 89 nt
Filed under: Plebeiibacterium sediminum
Lineage: Bacteria; Pseudomonadati; Bacteroidota; Bacteroidia; Marinilabiliales; Marinilabiliaceae
Source: RNAcentral
GUUCCACCUCUUCCCAUUCCGAACAGAGAAGUUAAGCCCAUUAGCGCCGAUGGUACUGCAUAUUGUGGGAGAGUAGGUCGCCGCUGAUU